UAUAUGUAUACACACACACACACAGAGAUGUACACAUACCAUUACAUUGUCAUUCACAGUCCCAGCAGCAUGACUAUCACAUUUUUGAUAAGUGUCCUUUGGCAUAAAAUAAAAAUAUCCUAUCAGUCCUUUCUAAGAAACCUGAAUUGACCAAAAAACAUCCCCACCACCACUUUAUAAAGUUGAUUCUGCUUUAUCCUGCAGUAUUGUUUAGCCAUCUUCUGCUCUUGGUAAGGUUGACAUAGUAUAUGUCAAUUUAAAAAAUAAAAGUCUGCUUUGUAAAUAGUAAUUUUACCCAGUGGUGCAUGUUUGAGCAAACGAAAAUGAUGAUUUAAGCACACUACUUAUUGCAUCAAAUAUGUACCACAGUAAGUAUAGUUUGCAAGCUUUCAACAGGUAAUAUGAUGUAAUUGGUUCCAUUAUAGUUUGAAGCUGUCACUGCUGCAUGUUUAUCUUGCCUAUGCUGCUGUAUCUUAUUCCUUCCACUGUUCAGAAGUCUAAUAUGGGAAGCCAUAUGUCAGUGGUAAAGUGAAGCAAAUUGUUCUACCAAGACCUCAUUCUUCAUGUCAUUAAGCAAUAGGUUGCAGCAAACAAGGAAGAGCUUCUUGCUUUUUAUUCUUCCAACCUUAAUUGAACACUCUAUGAUGAAAAGCCCGACUGUACAAACACGUUGCAAGCUGCUUAAAUCUGUUUAAAAUAUAUGGUUAGAGUUUUCUAAGGAAAUAUAAAUACUGUAAAAAGUUCAUUUUAUUUUAUUUUUCAGCCUUUUGUACAUAAAAUGAGAAAUUAAAAGUAUCUUCAGGUGGAUUUCACAGUCACUAUUGUUAGUUUCUGUUCCUAGCACUUUUAAACUGAAGCACUUCACAAAAUAAGAAGCAAGGACUAGGAUGCAGUGUAGGUUUCUGCUUUUUUAUUAGUACUGUAAACUUGCACACGUUUCAAUGUGAAACAAAUCUCAAACUGAGUUCAAUGUUUAUUUGCUUUCAAUAGUAAUGCCUUAUCAUUGAAAGAGGCUUAAAGAAAAAAAUCAGCUGAUAUUCUUGGCAUUGCUUGAAUCCAAUGUUUCCACCUAGUCUUUUUAUUCAGUAAUCAUCAGUCUUUUCCAAUGUUUGUUUACACAGAUAGAUCUUAUUGACCCAUAUGGCACUAGAACUGUAUCAGAUAUAAUAUGGGAUCCCAGCUUUUUUUCCCCCCCACAAAACCAGGUAGUGAAGUUAUAUUACCAGUUACAGCAAAAUACUUUGUGUUUCACAAGCAACAAUAAAUGUAGAUUCUCUAUACUAAAGCUAUUGACUUGUAGUGUGUUGGUGAAAUGCAUGCAGGAAAAUGCUGUUACCAUAAAGAACGGUAAACCACAUUACAAUCAAGCCAAAAGAAUAAAGGUUUCGCUUUUGUUUUUGUAUUUAAUUGUUGUCUUUGUUUCUAUCUUUGAAAUGCCAUUUAAAGGUACAUUUCUAUCAUGUAAAAAUAAUCUAUCUGAAAAACAAAUGUAAAGAACACACAUUAAUUAUGAUAGUUCAUCUUUCAAUUUUUUCAUGGAAUGGAAGUUAAUUAAGAAGAGUGUAUUGGAUAACUACUUUAAUAUUGGCCAAAAACCUAGAUAUGGCAUUAGGUAGAGUAGUGGAAAGUUACAAAAAUUAAUAAAAAAUUGACUAACACUUUAAGUUGUGCAUCUUUUCUCCUUCCUGUCCACCUAUUGCUCUUUUUUUCACUUUUCCAUUUCAAUUUCUUCCUUAUGUAUUCUUGAUCUACUUUUCUUUAUAUCCUUCUAUCCUUUCCUUGGGUUUUCAGUAUUUUUCAUUUAGGAUAUUCUCCUUGUUUCUUUUCUAUUCACCAAAUGUCUUGUUUAUUACAGUCUACAGACCACUUAGACUUAGAUCCCUAAAAUUUGCUAUCACUCUGUAAAGUGCACAUAGUAUCUGCGUAUUUAUUUUUACAAUUUUCUUUACAAAAAUUCUAAGAAAGCUUAGACUGCAACUUUUCAUAAUAUAUAACAAUUCCCAAACAGCACAGAUUUGACUUUCUCGUUUAAUUAUGUACAGUUUGGGAAACGUUUCUUGAUUCUGAAUGCAUAUUAGAAUUACCUGAGAAGAAAAAAAAAAAAAAAAAAA
Molecule: long non-coding RNA, 2111 nt
Filed under: Macaca fascicularis (crab-eating macaque)
Lineage: Eukaryota; Metazoa; Chordata; Mammalia; Primates; Cercopithecidae
Description: lncRNA (ENSMFAG00000054540.1)
Source: RNAcentral